CAAGUCGAACGAGCAAAGAGGAGCUUGCUUUCUCAGCUUAGUGGCGAACGGGUGAGUAACGCGUGAGGAACCUGCCUCAAAGAGGGGGACAACAGUUGGAAACGACUGCUAAUACCGCAUAAGCCCACGGCUCGGCAUCGAGCAGAGGGAAAAGGAGCAAUCCGCUUUGAGAUGGCCUCGCGUCCGAUUAGCUAGUUGGUGAGGUAACGGCCCACCAAGGCGACGAUCGGUAGCCGGACUGAGAGGUUGAACGGCCACAUUGGGACUGAGACACGGCCCAGACUCCUACGGGAGGCAGCAGUGGGGAAUAUUGCACAAUGGGGGAAACCCUGAUGCAGCGACGCCGCGUGGAGGAAGAAGGUCUUCGGAUUGUAAACUCCUGUUGUUGAGGAAGAUAAUGACGGUACUCAACAAGGAAGUGACGGCUAACUACGUG
RNAcentral lists this ribosomal RNA (436 nucleotides) under uncultured bacterium. Its description in RNAcentral is "bacterial SSU rRNA". It matches the Rfam family "Bacterial small subunit ribosomal RNA", at positions 58 to 507 of the family's 1533-position model. The record is from RNAcentral.